CCUACGGGUGGCUGCAGUGGGGAAUAUUGGACAAUGGGCGAAAGCCUGAUCCAGCCAUGCCGCGUGUGUGAAGAAGGCCUUCGGGUUGUAAAGCACUUUCAGUGGGGAAGAAAGCCUUGGGGCUAAUACCCUCGAGGAAGGACAUCACCCACAGAAGAAGCACCGGCUAACUCCGUGCCAGCAGCCGCGGUAAUACGGAGGGUGCGAGCGUUAAUCGGAAUUACUGAGCGUAAAGCGCGCGUAGGCGGUCUGAUAAGCCGGUUGUGAAAGCCCCGGGCUCAACCUGGGAACGGCAUCCGGAACUGUCAGGCUAGAGUGCAGGAGAGGAAGGUAGAAUUCCCGGUGUAGCGGUGAAAUGCGUAGAGAUCGGGAGGAAUACCAGUGGCGAAGGCGGCCUUCUGGACUGACACUGACGCUGAGGUGCGAAAGCGUGGGUAGCAAACAGGAUUAGAUACCCCAGUAGUC
RNAcentral lists this ribosomal RNA (465 nucleotides) under Vreelandella stevensii. RNAcentral's name for it is "partial 16S ribosomal RNA". It matches the Rfam family "Bacterial small subunit ribosomal RNA", at positions 338 to 795 of the family's 1533-position model. Lineage: Bacteria; Pseudomonadati; Pseudomonadota; Gammaproteobacteria; Oceanospirillales; Halomonadaceae. The record is from RNAcentral.